GUGUCUUAGGCGGUUCCAGCCGUUAGUCACAGGGCGGCCGGACUACAAUCCCAGCAUACAACGGGAGUGGAGGUGGUGACCUUGAGAGAGGGCCUGUGCUGUGCGCGCCUCACCGGGCAUGCUGGGAGCAGUAGCAUCUUAGCUGCUUCCGGCCGCUGGUCGCAGGGCUGCGGGACUACAAUCUUCGCAUGAAAUGGAAGAGAGGGUGGUGCGGAUAGCUUGAGAAAGGAACACUAUAAGGCCUGUUAGAGAAGAAAGGGUAGAAUCCCGAGAAUGUUUUCCCCACAGUGCUGAUAAGGAGAGACCACUAUCCCAUCUACUGCUACAGCUCUGGAGACAUAGCUCUCCCAUCUGUCAUAUAGAACACAAGGACCAAUCUGCAGAGAAAGAGCAUCCAAACCUGAUCCAGUGGACACUGGGGAAAAACUCACCACAGCUGAGUGUGGAAAAACAAGGCCAACACACACAUCUCUGCACAGAUACAUCU
This 487-nucleotide long non-coding RNA is filed under the name Pan troglodytes (chimpanzee). RNAcentral's name for it is "lincRNA". The record is from RNAcentral. Lineage: Eukaryota; Metazoa; Chordata; Mammalia; Primates; Hominidae.